GAUCAUUCACAAUCACGUGGUUAAUGGCACGGAAAAUCCAUUACCCACCUUGUGUGCAAUGUCGGGGAGCGUGUGACUGNUUUUGUGACUCGUCAUGGACGCGUUAUGUGACGCGUUUUGUGACGUGUUUUGGCUUUCACACCUUUCUUAUCAUUUCAACUCGUGUUUAAUCAUAUCAGUCUACAAGUAUCGAGUAUUAACAACUCUUAAAUACAACUUUCAACAACGGAUCUCUUGGCUCUCCCAUCGAUGAAGAACGCAGCGAAAUGCGAUAAGUAAUGUGAAUUGCAGAAUUCAGUGAAUCAUCGAAUCUUUGAACGCACCUUGCACCCAUUGGUAUUCCGAUGGGUAUGCCUGUUUGAGUGUCAUUAAAUUCUCAACCUUUACCACUUUAUUGUGUUCUUAAGGCUUGGAUGUGAGGGUUAUUGCUGGCUUCCUUCAGUGAUGAUGGUCAGCUCCCUUGAAAUGCAUUAGUGGAAUCCUUUGUGGACCCUCACUGGGUGUGAUAUAUGAUCGCCUUUUGUAUGGGAAGCAAUCUAAUGGAAUCUGCUUAUAACCGUCCUUUAGUUUGGACAAUUUACUUUGACAAUUUGACCUCAAAAUCAGGUAGGACUACCCGCUGAACUUAAGCAUAUCAAUAAGCGGAGGAAAARAAACCUAACAAGGAUUCCCCUAGUAACUGCGAGUGAAGCGGGAAAAGCUCAAAUUUAAAAUCUGGCGGUUCUGCCGUCCGAGUUGUAAUUUAGAGAAGUGUUAUCCGCGUUGGACCGUGUACAAGUCUCUUGGAAUAGAGCGUCAUAGAGGGUGAGAAUCCCGUCUUUGACACGGACUGCCAGGGCAUUGUGAUACACUCUCGAAGAGUCGAGUUGUUUGGGAAUGCAGCUCAAAAUGGGUGGUAAAUUCCAUCUAAAGCUAAAUAUUGGGGAGAGACCGAUAGCGAACAAGUACCGUGAGGGAAAGAUGAAAAGAACUUUGGAAAGAGAGUUAAACAGUAUGUGAAAUUGCUGAAAGGGAAACGCUUGAAGUCAGUCGCGUUGUUCAGGACUCAGCCGUGCUUUUGUGCGGUGUACUUCCUGUUCAAUGGGUCAACAUCAAUUUUGGUCGGUGGAAAAGGGUGCGGGGAAUGUGGCUCUUUCGGGAGUGUUAUAGCCCUGUAUCGUAUACAUUGACUGGGAUUGAGGAACUCAGCUCGCCGCAAGGCCGCUCU
RNAcentral lists this ribosomal RNA (1207 nucleotides) under uncultured fungus. RNAcentral describes it as "eukaryotic LSU rRNA". The stretch from base 592 to 1207 matches the Rfam family "Eukaryotic large subunit ribosomal RNA", at positions 1 to 618 of the family's 3401-position model. Lineage: Eukaryota; Fungi. The record is from RNAcentral.